UCGAGAAUCAUUCACAAUGGGGGAAACCCUGAUGGUGCGACGCCGCGUGGGGGAAUGAAGGUCUUCGGAUUGUAAACCCCUGUCAUGUGGGAGCAAAUUAAAAAGAUAGUACCACAAGAGGAAGAGACGGCUAACUCUGUGCCAGCAGCCGCGGUAAUACAGAGGUCUCAAGCGUUGUUCGGAAUCACUGGGCGUAAAGCGUGCGUAGGCGGUUUCGUAAGUCGUGUGUGAAAGGCGGGGGCUCAACCCCCGGACUGCACAUGAUACUGCGAGACUAGAGUAAUGGAGGGGGAACCGGAAUUCUCGGUGUAGCAGUGAAAUGCGUAGAUAUCGAGAGGAACACUCGUGGCGAAGGCGGGUGCCUGGACAUUAACUGACGCUGAGGCACGAAGGCCAGGGGAGCGAAAGGG
Molecule: ribosomal RNA, 410 nt
Filed under: Acidobacteriota bacterium
Lineage: Bacteria; Pseudomonadati; Acidobacteriota
Description: Acidobacteria bacterium partial 16S ribosomal RNA
Rfam family: Bacterial small subunit ribosomal RNA
Source: RNAcentral